Molecule: ribosomal RNA, 297 nt
Filed under: uncultured bacterium
Lineage: Bacteria
Description: partial 16S ribosomal RNA
Rfam family: Bacterial small subunit ribosomal RNA
Source: RNAcentral
GAUGAACGCUGGCGGCGUGCCUAACACAUGCAAGUCGAGCGAUUUACUUCGGUAAAGAGCGGCGGACGGGUGAGUAACGCGUGGGUAACCUGCCCUGUACACACGGAUAACAUACCGAAAGGUAUGCUAAUACGAGAUAAUAUGCUUUUAUCGCAUGGUAGAAGUAUCAAAGCUCCGGCGGUACAGGAUGGACCCGCGUCUGAUUAGCUAGUUGGUGAGGUAACGGCUCACCAAGGCGACGAUCAGUAGCCGACCUGAGAGGGUGAUCGGCCACAUUGGAACUGAGACACGGUCCAA